GUUUCAAUUAUUGUGUUUCAUCACAUUUAAGAUGCUCUCUGUUAAGGCAUGUUCUCGGAGCUUUACUAAAGCACUGCCAGUCCUGACACGGUGCCUUUCUCUGAGUCCCUUAACCAUCAUCCACCCUACUAAGUGUCCAGCCUGUGUCGGAACUGGGUUAUGACCCACUGGUGCGUCCUGACCUGCAGCGUGAUUGCUUGCUUGCUUUAAAGUCCCGCAGUUUGCAGUCCAAAGCGUCUCAAGCUCUGGCUCAGCCGAGAGAGGACACAGGCCAGAGGGACUGUGCAGACCAGGCUGAGGAGAGGGCUGGGGAAAUUGGGGCAGAGGACAGCUCCCCCUGGAGCAGAGAAGUAGCUGGGAGCCAAAGGCCCAGCUGCUGAUAGGGAGCUGAUGUCAGUUUAUAAGACACACCCUGAUUUUAGAGUUGUUAAAAAGUGUGAUCCUUAGAAUGAUAAAAUAUAGCCUGUUGUAAGCAACGGUAUUUAUGAAUUUUUUUAAAAAGAAAACAUGAGUAGAACUCCUGCUUGCAUUCUCUAUGUUUGAUACUAGGAUUAGUGCUAACCUUUUUAGAAAGACGUGGAUACCAACAAGAAGAAUUCCCUAUAUUGCUAGCAAUAAAUAUUUGUGAAAUUGAAAGGAAGUAUUUUAAGAAAAAGACAGUACUUUAAAAGCAGCGACACUUCUGUAGUUACUGAGAAAAACUGGAUUUUGUUUUUGGUGAGGGGAGAGAGUCUAAUUUAAUCUUAAAUUGAGAUCCAUUGGUAAAUGAGAAGUCCAGAAACUGUGCUUUUCUAAUCUAAGAAUUUACAGAGAGAGAAAAUGUGUGCCGCAUGUUUUAAACAUCCUCCACUAACAAUACAAAGUCUGAUUUUUUUAAAGGUACAUUUAUAAUUCAUUUGUAUCAAAACUAUUUUAACAUACAUGUGCUUUUUCAAAUAAAAAAAAUGAAGUAGAAUAUACCAAAUGCAUACACUUUUAUUCGCUGAACAGUUUCAGUGUCUGAAAUUUUGUGGUAGUUUUUUAAUGUGCUUCUUAAUACAGAAAGGGAAGUAGAAUCCUCAGGUAUCCAGGCAUCUCUUGUUGAGUUGAAGGUUAUUCAUUGCUUUGGCCUCACAAAGUUUGGGUUUCAACUAUCGUAAGUGAAAAUAUUUUCAAUUAAUAUUCUAAUUAAUGGUAAUAUUAAUUAGAAUAAAAAGAAAUUGCUUUUUUGAAAUAUGUGUAACUUCUAAAAAUAAAACUUUAAAUUUACCUGU
This 1253-nucleotide long non-coding RNA is filed under the name Phocoena sinus (vaquita). RNAcentral describes it as "lncRNA (ENSPSNG00000005282.1)". The record is from RNAcentral. Lineage: Eukaryota; Metazoa; Chordata; Mammalia; Artiodactyla; Phocoenidae.